This 2257-nucleotide long non-coding RNA is filed under the name Phascolarctos cinereus (koala). RNAcentral describes it as "lncRNA (ENSPCIG00000004068.2)". Lineage: Eukaryota; Metazoa; Chordata; Mammalia; Diprotodontia; Phascolarctidae. The record is from RNAcentral.
CACUGCCUAAGGCAAUGCUGCACCCCAAGAAAGAAGGGGAAGAUGUUUCAGAGAUAGGGGAACAGUUUCCCGGUAUUCCUAUUAAAAACAAAACAAAACAAAAUUGCAACCAGAGCCAAGGUUUGGAGUGGGGAGGGAGAGAAGAGACGAAGGAAAGGUACGGUCAAGUUUUUGCAGUCUGUCUCGUUCCUCUUCUGAAAACACCGGGCAAGGGAAAGGCUGUGUACUUGGGAAGCGAAAUUGGGCCGAAGAAACAGUCCAAGGUAGUAGGCAGCCAUCUGUCGAUAGGCAGGGGGGAGAGAGCAGCAAAGUUGGGAAUGCUGCUCGUUCACCCUGCAUGCUCCAAGAGAGAGAGAUAGGAAAAGUGGACGACGAAGAAAGUUGAAGUGGGGUCCUCGGUUUGAGGUUUUUGAAAUUCAGAUUUUUAUUUUUGAAGAAGAAGAAAAUGUGAACAAAACUAGCUCCGGAGAUCAAGCAAGCCUGAGAUGGAGAAGAGGGGGGCGGGGAAGGGCGGAGAAGUGAAGAGAGCUGGGGUGGGAGAUGCAGAACAAACUCCUUCCCACCAGAGUCACCAGUCUUCGGGGACUCCUGGGCUUUCAGGCUCCGAGGGUCUUAGUCCUCCAGGAAGGUCUGCCCUUCGAGGAGAGAGAGGGUGGCAGCGCGGGCAUGGACGCGAACGUGGGUGGGAGCUACGCCCAGCUGAGCUCUGUCUGACCCAGCCUGCUCCUCCUGACCCCAGGCCCUCGGCCAUCGCACUUCACCGCGUAGAGAUGGAAAACAAACACAACGCACGAAGGAAACAUUUGCCCCCAGCCCAGCUCGGUGCGGGAAAGGGGAAGGUGUGUGGCGGCGGUGCGAGAAGGGAGCACCGCGAACCCGCAGCCUUGAGAGCGGGAACCAAGACCUUGCUGGUUCGGAAGCCUGCCCUCCGCCAACCUGCAGACUCAGGACUACACUGCCCUCUCCGAAGUGCAAUGGAGAAAGGCGUCCUUAGAUUCCCAGUACCCAAGAGCUAUCUAUCACCUUCCUCCUUUGCUGCGGAGUCCAAACACGGCAGUUCUAGGUGUCUUCUCCCCAUCCCCCAUCCCUACCCGAUCCAUUUUUGUAUAAAACCAAGCUGUCCCACAGGGUAUGCAGCCACCAAGGGUGGCCUUGGGGGUGUUGGGGAACGCAGAGGAGGGGGCUGAUUCCUGUUUUGCAUUUGUGUAGAUGUCUCCUACGGAGUUUAUAGGAGUCUCAAAAUGGUCAGGCUCCCUGUCUUUUUUCACCACAGGGUUGAGGGAAAGUGGGAGGAAGAUGAGGUUAUUUAAAGCUCAUUUGCUACCAGAACAAAAUGUUCCAGCUCUCCCUCUCCUGUCUCGGAGCGCCUCUGCCCAGCCUUUGAUAUUUAAGACCGACAAGAUCCUCCAUGAAACUACCUGUUAAGGAAAUGAGUGACACCGAAUUCUGAAGGGCUCGUCAUGUCUUAAAAAAAGAAAAAAAAAGUCAACCGCAUUCUUUUGAGAGGGGGGUCGUUCUUGAAGUGUGCCCCAUGGCUGGGGGAGAGAAACAGCAGAGACAUGUAAGCACUGCUGUCCAUCAGCCCCCAAUCCAAACUGUCCCCCAUCAGUCCGCGCUCGGCUCCAUUCCUGAGGACCAGCCUGGACUAUCCUCGCUGGUGCGUACGGACAUCGGCCGCACGAAAAGGGCACAAACACGUCGCUAGACCGCUAGGUUUCGGGGACGACUGGAGAGAUUCCUAGUUGACUUUGGCAGAGCGGGUUUCCUGCCUUGACAAAAACCAAAACCAAAACCACCUCCCCUAGUUAGGGCUUUCCUUCCUCAGCCCCAAGCCAGCUCGCCAAGCAUAAGAUGCCGGCCAGGUGAAUUACCCGAGUUUGAAUUCAACUGUUUUCUUGACAUUUCGGAAAACUUCGAUCACGUUGUUCCUGAGGCUUAAUCUAUUGAUUUGCUAAAUCUAUAGUUUCAUCUCUUUAAAGACAAAACCAAACAAAAACAAACAAACAAACAAAAAACUCAGCGCUUUGGGGAGGAAGGAAGGAAUGGUACAAAAUAUUAUUUUCAAUAGCAUUUUUAUCCAGUUUCCUUUGAUGUUUUCACAUCGUAGCUUUGCGUCUACUUCGUAACAUUACUUGUAUUUUUUGGUCCUGAUUUAUGCUACGACAGGACUUUGUUAGUAGCUGAUUCUGUGAGGUGGUUUAAAAAAAACAAAACAAAACAAAAUAAAACCCUAGUUCUGAAGCGUGUAAAGGCUAUC